Molecule: transfer RNA, 57 nt
Filed under: Steinernema glaseri
Lineage: Eukaryota; Metazoa; Nematoda; Chromadorea; Rhabditida; Steinernematidae
Description: tRNA-Phe
Source: RNAcentral
ACUCUUUUAGUUUAUAUUUAAAAUAUGGCUCUGAAGAAGCCAAGAAUUUUAGGAGUG